RNAcentral lists this small RNA (79 nucleotides) under Caulobacter vibrioides CB15. RNAcentral's name for it is "Caulobacter crescentus CB15 Makes More Granules Regulator RNA (mmgR)". It matches the Rfam family "Makes More Granules Regulator RNA (mmgR)". From Rfam's summary of the family: SuhB later renamed mmgR (makes more granules regulator) was a putative non-coding RNA found multiple times in the Agrobacterium tumefaciens genome and related alpha-proteobacteria. RNAcentral also lists the same sequence under 1 other name. Lineage: Bacteria; Pseudomonadati; Pseudomonadota; Alphaproteobacteria; Caulobacterales; Caulobacteraceae. The record is from Rfam by way of RNAcentral.
CGCCUCUGCCCUUCCUGGGCGUUUCCUCCCUAUGACUUUGUAGCCCGGUCUUCAUGGCCGGGCUUUCUUUUUGCGCGAU